RNAcentral lists this ribosomal RNA (625 nucleotides) under uncultured bacterium. Its description in RNAcentral is "bacterial SSU rRNA". It matches the Rfam family "Bacterial small subunit ribosomal RNA", at positions 338 to 951 of the family's 1533-position model. The record is from RNAcentral.
CCUACGGGAGGCAGCAGUGGGGAAUUUUGGACAAUGGGCGCAAGCCUGAUCCAGCAAUGCCGCGUGCAGGAUGAAGGCCUUCGGGUUGUAAACUGCUUUUGUACGGAACGAAACGGUCUGCUUUAAUACAGUGGGCUAAUGACGGUACCGUAAGAAUAAGCACCGGCUAACUACGUGCCAGCAGCCGCGGUAAUACGUAGGGUGCGAGCGUUAAUCGGAAUUACUGGGCGUAAAGCGUGCGCAGGCGGUUAUAUAAGACAGAUGUGAAAUCCCCGGGCUCAACCUGGGACCUGCAUUUGUGACUGUAUAGCUAGAGUACGGUAGAGGGGGAUGGAAUUCCGCGUGUAGCAGUGAAAUGCGUAGAUAUGCGGAGGAACACCGAUGGCGAAGGCAAUCCCCUGGACCUGUACUGACGCUCAUGCACGAAAGCGUGGGGAGCAAACGAGGAUUAGAUACCCUGGUAGUCCACGCCCUAAACGAUGUACAACUGGUUGUUGGGUCUUCACUGACUCAGUAACGAAGCUAACGCGUGAAGUUGACCGCCUGGGGAGUACGGCCGNGAAGGUUAGAACUCGAAAGGAGUUGACGCGNGAGACGAGACGACGACGACGACGGAGGGAGGAGG